Molecule: transfer RNA, 67 nt
Filed under: Marmota monax (woodchuck)
Lineage: Eukaryota; Metazoa; Chordata; Mammalia; Rodentia; Sciuridae
Description: tRNA.Ser
Rfam family: tRNA
About the family: Transfer RNA (tRNA) molecules are approximately 80 nucleotides in length. Their secondary structure includes four short double-helical elements and three loops (D, anti-codon, and T loops). Further hydrogen bonds mediate the characteristic L-shaped molecular structure. tRNAs have two regions of fundamental functional importance: the anti-codon, which is responsible for specific mRNA codon recognition, and the 3' end, to which the tRNAs corresponding amino acid is attached (by aminoacyl-tRNA synthetases). tRNAs cope with the degeneracy of the genetic code in two manners: having more than one tRNA (with a specific anti-codon) for a particular amino acid; and 'wobble' base-pairing, i.e. permitting non-standard base-pairing at the 3rd anti-codon position.
Source: RNAcentral
GGCUGUAGUUCAGUGGCAGGGCACUUGCCUAGAGUGCAUGAGACCCUGAGUUCAAUUCCCAGCACCA